RNAcentral lists this transfer RNA (73 nucleotides) under Candidatus Kerfeldbacteria bacterium. RNAcentral's name for it is "tRNA-Pro". It matches the Rfam family "tRNA". From Rfam's summary of the family: Transfer RNA (tRNA) molecules are approximately 80 nucleotides in length. Their secondary structure includes four short double-helical elements and three loops (D, anti-codon, and T loops). Lineage: Bacteria; Candidatus Kerfeldiibacteriota. The record is from RNAcentral.
CGGGGUGUGGCGCAGUUGGUAGCGCGCAUCGUUCGGGACGAUGAGGUCCCGGGUUCGAGCCCCGGCACCCCGA